UGCCAGCCGCCGCGGUAAUACGGAGGGGGUUAGCGUUGUUCGGAAUUACUGGGCGUAAAGCGCGCGUAGGCGGAUUGGAAAGUUGGGGGUGAAAUCCCGGGGCUCAGCCCCGGAACUGCCUCCAAAACUGCCAGUCUAGAGUUCGAGAGAGGUGAGUGGAACUCCAAGUGUAGAGGUGAAAUUCGUAGAUAUUUGGAAGAACACCAGUGGCGAAGGCGGCUUUCUGGACAGUGACUGACGCUGAGGCGCGAAAGCGUGGGUAGCAAACAGGAUUAGAUA
This 279-nucleotide ribosomal RNA is filed under the name uncultured bacterium. RNAcentral's name for it is "partial 16S ribosomal RNA". It matches the Rfam family "Bacterial small subunit ribosomal RNA", at positions 506 to 784 of the family's 1533-position model. The record is from RNAcentral.